Molecule: long non-coding RNA, 193 nt
Organism: Rhincodon typus (whale shark)
Lineage: Eukaryota; Metazoa; Chordata; Chondrichthyes; Orectolobiformes; Rhincodontidae
Exons: 3
Source: RefSeq, a predicted model, not a curated record
AGCUGCUGGGCCUAUGGAGGAGGUGCACUGUCACAGAGCCUGUCGAUUACAGAGCGAGGCGUCAGCAGGAAGCCGCUGAGAUGGAGGUUCUGCGGAAGGCCCUGGAGCCCAGUAUUGAUCAGCUGGCAGUCUCGGUGGAGGAGUUGGAGCCUGAAAUCUCUCGGAUUCUGAUCAAAACCCCGGAGGAGAUCGG